GGAGGAAAGCAGGGGAUCGAAAGACCUUAUGCUUUUGGAGCGGCCGAUGUCUGAUUAGCUAGUUGGUGAGGUAAAUGCUUACCAAGGCGACGAUCAGUAGUUGGUCUGAGAGGACGACCAGCCACACUGGGACUGAGACACGGCCCAGACUCCUACGGGAGGCAGCAGUGGGGAAUUUUGGACAAUGGGCGCAAGCCUGAUCCAGCAAUGCCGUGUGAGUGAAGAAGGCCUUCGGGUUGUAAAGCUCUUUCAGUCGAGAAGAAAAGAUUGUGACUAAUACUCACAAUCCAUGACGGUAUCGACAGAAGAAGCACCGGCUAACUACGUGCCAGCAGCCGCGGUAAUACGUAGGGUGCGAGCGUUAAUCGGAAUUACUGGGCGUAAAGGGUGCGCAGGCGGCUCUGUAAGUCAGAUGUGAAAUCCCCGGGCUUAACCUGGGAAUUGCGUUUGAAACUACAAGGCUAGA
This 466-nucleotide ribosomal RNA is filed under the name uncultured ammonia-oxidizing bacterium. RNAcentral's name for it is "bacterial SSU rRNA". It matches the Rfam family "Bacterial small subunit ribosomal RNA", at positions 198 to 645 of the family's 1533-position model. The record is from RNAcentral.